GCGGUGGGCAUGUGGUUUAAUUCGAUGAUACGCGAGGAACCUUACCUGGGCUCAAAUGUAUGUUGACGUAUUCUGAAAGGGAUACUUCUUCGGACAAUAUACAAGGUGCUGCAUGGUUGUCGUCAGCUCGUGCCGUGAGGUGUCGGGUUAAGUCCCAUAACGAGCGCAACCCCUAUCAUUAGUUGCCAGCAGUUCGGCUGGGCACUCUAAAGGGACUGCCGGUGUUAAACCGGAGGAAGGUGGGGAUGACGUCAAGUCCUCAUGGCCUUUAUGACCAGGGCUACACACGUACUACAAUGGCCGAUACAAAGGGCAGCGACACUGCGAGGUGAAGCCAAUCCCGUAAAAUCGGUCUCAGUCCGGAUUGGAGUCUGCAACUCGACUCCAUGAAGUUGGAAUCGCUAGUAAUCGUGGAUCAGCAUGCCACGGUGAAUACGUUCCCGGGCCUU
Molecule: ribosomal RNA, 449 nt
Filed under: uncultured Desulfobulbus sp.
Lineage: Bacteria; Pseudomonadati; Thermodesulfobacteriota; Desulfobulbia; Desulfobulbales; Desulfobulbaceae
Description: bacterial SSU rRNA
Rfam family: Bacterial small subunit ribosomal RNA
Source: RNAcentral